GCGCCGGUGGUGUAAGGCGUAGCAUCGCUGCUCGGAAAGCAGAAGGCGCUAGUUCGAGUCCUGCUUGGCGCA
Molecule: non-coding RNA, 72 nt
Organism: Heligmosomoides polygyrus
Lineage: Eukaryota; Metazoa; Nematoda; Chromadorea; Rhabditida; Heligmosomidae
Source: Rfam